AGCCCUGUAGUACAGCGGUCAAGUAUACGGCCCUUUGAAGGCUGUGACCCAGGUUCGAAUCCUGGCAGGGCUA
RNAcentral lists this transfer RNA (73 nucleotides) under Nanobdellota archaeon. Its description in RNAcentral is "tRNA-Gln". It matches the Rfam family "tRNA". From Rfam's summary of the family: Transfer RNA (tRNA) molecules are approximately 80 nucleotides in length. Their secondary structure includes four short double-helical elements and three loops (D, anti-codon, and T loops). Further hydrogen bonds mediate the characteristic L-shaped molecular structure. tRNAs have two regions of fundamental functional importance: the anti-codon, which is responsible for specific mRNA codon recognition, and the 3' end, to which the tRNAs corresponding amino acid is attached (by aminoacyl-tRNA synthetases). tRNAs cope with the degeneracy of the genetic code in two manners: having more than one tRNA (with a specific anti-codon) for a particular amino acid; and 'wobble' base-pairing, i.e. permitting non-standard base-pairing at the 3rd anti-codon position. RNAcentral also lists the same sequence under 3 other names. Lineage: Archaea; Nanobdellati; Nanobdellota. The record is from RNAcentral.